This 214-nucleotide ribosomal RNA is filed under the name Vibrio parahaemolyticus. RNAcentral's name for it is "partial 23S ribosomal RNA". It matches the Rfam family "Bacterial large subunit ribosomal RNA", at positions 1412 to 1629 of the family's 2925-position model. The record is from RNAcentral. Lineage: Bacteria; Pseudomonadati; Pseudomonadota; Gammaproteobacteria; Vibrionales; Vibrionaceae.
UAGUCGAUGGGAAACGGGUUAAUAUUCCCGUACUUCUUACAAUUGCGAUGGGGGGACGGAGAAGGCUAGGUGGGCCUGGCGACGGUUGUCCAGGUUCAAGUGUGUAGGCUUAAGAGUUAGGUAAAUCCGGCUCUUUUUAAGGCUGAGACACGACGUCGAGCACCUACGGGUGUGAAGUCAUUGAUGCCAUGCUUCCAGGAAAAGCCUCUAAGCU